Long non-coding RNA from Gallus gallus (chicken), 2166 nucleotides. The record is from Ensembl. NCBI's taxonomy places the organism in Eukaryota, Metazoa, Chordata, Aves, Galliformes, Phasianidae.
AGUGAGUCGACUUACAGAGCUGGUGAAAGCAUUUUUUCUUUGCUGAUCUGUAGCCCAAGGAUUCAAAAAUCCUUCAUCGCCUCAUCACAAACGUCUUUCCUUAUCUGUUGCUGAAGAACCUGCAGUAGAUGGACUCCCUGUCUUGCUGAUUUCCCAGAAAAGGUACAAAAUCUUCCCCCAUCUUGCUCUCCUAAAUACACCAUUGUAUGAUCUAAGUGGACAAACCCGUGUUUGAGAUAUUAUGGAAUCUUCCUAUGAGGAGAAGUUCAUGACAGAGACAGAGACUGUAGAGGUCCAGAAGCUGGGCUGGAUUCCAAAGGGAGACAGGAAGUCAUCUUUCAUCUAUGCAUGAAGACAGGAAUCCAGGAAGGCGAGAAGUUGGUGAGAGGAAAAACAAGAGGUAGAAUGGGAUGUGGGGAGCCGCAAGACCCACCUAAAAAGGUUGUGACCACUACAGUUGGAAAUAUGAUGAGAAAUUUGAACUAAUUUCCUACAGUCUAACUCACAUGUGAAAUCUGAGGCAAAGAUUAGUGCACGCUGUAGGAAGGAGUGAUAUGUAAAGUUUUCAGCACACUUUUGCACAGUCACCACAGUGAAUGAGUACUUACAACAUCCUUGCCUGUGUCAUAGUUCAGCUUUUAGGGACACAAUUGUCAGAAAGGGACAUGAAUAUUUGAGUACCAUCUCUCACUGCUGCUCUGCUCUUGUGAUCUAUAAAUAAGGAGAACUUUAACCUUUUGUAAUCUCAAUGAUAAGCUGUUUGUUGGAGCAGCUAUGUGUCAGGCCCUACCUGAUUCAGAAAUGACAACUAAGGAGCAAGCAGACUAUACUUCAUGUAAAAUCCAAUUGUAAUGCCAUCAUUAUAAGGGAGGCUUGAGAGCUCUGUUGUCUUUUCAGUAGCUGUCAUUUCAUCUGUCAAGGGCUUCAUCUGUAUUCAGAGCACAUCCCUUUAUUUCCUUAUAAUGACUAAUGAUGAUUCACAUUUUUCCUUUCCUCUCUCUUAGAUUCUAACAAUGCAUGUUUUUGUACCUGCUGUCUUAAAUUCUUUUUGUCACUGUUAAGGGAAAAUGCUAAAGCAAGCAGACUUGAAUCUUAUAUAUAUUCUUCACAUUCCUGAGGGUCUUCAAUAGCUCCUCAGGAUUCUUCAGUUUUUUCAUACUGGCCCUUACAAUUUCAGUGAUUCUAGUCUUUCAGAUUAUAAUUGCUGUUUUCAUUGCUGUAGUUAGACAUCUACUUGGAAGCUGCUGGGGAAAUGUGCCAGGGAAGAGUGAGCUGCACCUCUUCCCUUCCUUGAAUCCAGAUGAACAGAUCCUUCUCAACACUUCUGGUCCUGAAGUGUUCCGGCUAUUCUUUAACCCUGACCUCUUGCUUUGCAGUAGCUAGAGCUGAAGCGAAAUCACUGAGGAGACAGUGUACAUACGCCUUUUUUUUUUUUUUUAACAGCUACCAAAUUUUUAAAUCCUGAAGCAACUUUCUAUUUCGUGCUUGUCAGCUUUACACGGAACUUGUGUUUCUGUGUUUUUAUAUUUCUACGGGGUGAGGUGGACUGCAGCUUCUGAUGGUUAUUACAAAUGACUUAAAGCUUUUUUUUUUUUCUAGAAAGGCAACUGGUACUGUCUGCUUUCUCUGCCUUCGUUAUAGAGACUGAAUUUAGUGCUUAUUUUUAACUUCAUUGCCUUUUCUGAAACUAUUUAAGACACUCCAUUCUUUUUUUUUUUGCAAUCUGCAGGGAGGAGGCAUCUAGUAUACUCUUUGUAUAUUUCCGAAGCUAAUUUUCUUUAUUCUGAGGCUGUGGCUUUGAUUUUAUUUCAGGGUGUAGCUGUUUUCCUCAGACAGGAAAAACUCACUUUAAGAUGCUACACUGUUUGGAGAAAAUACCAGAAAUGCUUAUGGAAGGCUGCUCUAAAAAAGAAAAGCUAUGUAAGCAUAUCAGUGAUUGUAUUCAGAGCCUGGAUAAUUCUAAUGUAUACAGUAAGUAGAUUAAUGAGCAUGAAUAGAAAAGAGAGGGUAUAUAGAUUGAGGGAAAAGCAGUGUUUUUAAUGAAUGAUUUGUAUUCAACUGAUUUGUAGAAAUGCAUUGAUUACAUAUUACUUCAGAAUCUAGGUCUGUGAAAGAAUAAAGCUUAUGCUGCCGGCACCGUGUGAUGUCAGCACUACUGCAGACUUG